Molecule: ribosomal RNA, 467 nt
Filed under: uncultured bacterium
Lineage: Bacteria
Description: partial 16S ribosomal RNA
Rfam family: Bacterial small subunit ribosomal RNA
Source: RNAcentral
GACGAACGCUGGCGGCGUGCUUAACACAUGCAAGUCGAACGGAAAGGCCCUGCUUUUGUGGGGUGCUCGAGUGGCGAACGGGUGAGUAACACGUGAGUAACCUGCCCUUGACUUUGGGAUAACUUCAGGAAACUGGGGCUAAUACCGGAUAGGAGCUCCUGCUGCAUGGUGGGGGUUGGAAAGUUUCGGCGGUUGGGGAUGGACUCGCGGCUUAUCAGCUUGUUGGUGGGGUAGUGGCUUACCAAGGCUUUGACGGGUAGCCGGCCUGAGAGGGUGACCGGCCACAUUGGGACUGAGAUACGGCCCAGACUCUUACGGGAGGCAGCAGGGGGGAUUAUUGCACAAGGGGCGGAAGCCGGAUGCAGCAACGCCGCGUGCGGGAUGACGGCCUUCGGGUGGUAAACCGCUUUCGCCUGUGACGAAGCGUGAGUGACGGUAAUGGGUAAAGAAGCACCGGCUAACUACGU